Passer domesticus (house sparrow) is the source of this 5067-nucleotide long non-coding RNA. RefSeq lists it as uncharacterized. The record is from RefSeq and is a predicted model, not a curated record. The transcript is spliced from 3 exons. Lineage: Eukaryota; Metazoa; Chordata; Aves; Passeriformes; Passeridae.
AGCAGGGAGCACUCUCUUUCGUGGAAGUAUUUGCAGAAGGUGAAGGCUCUGCAUUGGAGUGGGUUUCUUCAGGUGGUUGAGAUUUUUUUUUCUGGGCUUGCAACAGGAACCACUCAGAAAAGUGUAUUUCACAAGCUAAAACUUUUGGAGUGAACUUUGCAAACCCUAUGGGCAGUGUGGAUCUUGAGCCAGUCUCUGGGGCGAGGUCAGUGCCAACAGGCCAGUUCCUUCCCCUGGACACACCAGCUGCUUGGCAGACAGGAGCACCAACACUGGUGCACGUGCCAGGAAGAAGCAGUGGGUGGUAGAGCUGACCCCACACAAGCCAGGAAAUCUUCAUCUGUGUUAAGAACUGCUCUGUAUCUCCUACCUUCUCAUCAGGGUUUGCUACUGUCCAUUGUCUCCCUGACUGUGUUGUUGCCUGCAAAGGCCGCCAUCUUGGGGGGAGGGUUUGCAGCCAUCUUUUCCCUUUGUCUCCCCUCACAGAGUCACCUGCAGUGGGCACCAUCCCAAAAAAAGGCAUUUCCAGCAUUUUGGGCUUCUCUUGGUUCUCAGGAAAUGAAAAAUACAAUCAAAACUCCUUCUCUGAAUGCCUUUGAACUGAAUAUGAAGACCAAAUCAAAAUUAUUUCCAGGAGGCUAUAGCCAAAGAGUCCAACAUAAAAGGAAACUUCCUUCUUGAAGGUGAUGGAAAAUGAGAGUUUAAUGCAUCCAGAACUGGGCUAAAAAUCUAAGUUGUCUUUCCAAGAUAUUCUAAGUUUGAAACAACAAAACAGUAACUGUGUGGUUGGUUCAUCAUUACUUCAAAUCUGAAGUAUUGUCAAGCAUGAAAAAGAAGACUGAGAAUGAAAAAUACUGUAGCAUUUAAUGCAAAUAAUCUCAGUCUCAAUGAAAAUGGCUUCUACAAUACCUACAAAAUUAGAGAAGGUUUGAUGUAGGAAAUUAAUAAAUAUCUAAAAAACAAAACAAAAAAUCCUGCCAUUUUAUUAUUUAAUACUGUAAAUCUUAUCACUUCAUAAUCUUCUCAGUCUCUUGAAAGUGUCUCUUGAACAGUGACUCAAGUUACCAAGAAAAAAAAAAAGUAGAAUCAUGUAUGAUCUAUUGCAUAAAUCCAUUUCUUAUUGCACCUACAAAAAGAAUUUGUCCCUACUACUAUGUAUGAUGAAAAUUGCAACCUCUUCCUACAAAAUAUACGUCAAUCCAUAAACCCAUCAUGUUUAUACCUAUGUGGCUUUCCACUCAGACUCUGGAAUUCAGAUUUGAUUGCUUCUCUUUAACUUAUGCAUUGCACUUUUUUAAUCUCAUAGUGAUUAAGUAUGGUGUAUAUAUUUUUUAGACAUACUCAAUUUUAAGACAGUAAUAUUAUAGUUUAUAUUGUAGUGGUAGAAAUGAUGGGCAAAUAAAAAAGUUAAGAGUAACAGAAAUUACUUACUUGUAUUGUUUUGCAGAUAUAGGAGGAUUCAGUUUAUUGGUUGAUUAAGAAUAGAGUUGCACUUAAACAUGGCAUGAUAACUAAAAAAAUACUAUCAAAAGUAUGAAAACAUAUACAAAGCACAACACAAGAAAUGCAAUGGAGGAAGCAAAAUGGCUGGGUAUAAAUUACUUUAAUAACAUUGGAAACAUAUAAAAAUAUCGUGAAAGGAAAUAAUAAAUUAAAAACUUGUUGAUCAGUACACAAAACACAGGAAAAACUGUUUGCUGCAACAGAAGAGUAGUGUUAAACACUAAAAUGCCUGAAUCAAAUCAGAUAAACAAGUUCACUGGAUUAAAAAGGAAAAUAGGAUCAGUACGGAUUGGGAUUUCUCACCUAAGUAGAAAAGCACAGGAUUUUUAAGACUAUAAUAUUGCCAGGGGACCUAGGAUGGUGACUGUGCCUGUGACAUACUGUGGGAGACCAAGAAACCUAAGAGCAAGAAGCAAACAAUGAUGUAAACCAGGUAAAUUACACAGGGGUGCAUUGUGAUGUAAGAGUUUACAAUAUUAAAAUGGAUUAUUUCAGUGAUUCCAGUCAGGAAACCCACAAGCAGAGAAAAAGCUCUUGAGUCAGUCCUCAGCAAAGAACAGGACAUGAUCCAAGUUUAUGUCAUUAAGGAUCUAACCUGCAACUGUGUUCAUCAUAUUCUUUACUUCAUGUCCAACACAAAUCUAGGGUUUAACUUUAAGAAAAAAAUUAAUUGAAUGAGUGGCCUUAUUAAAAUAUUUUGGCUUAUGAGUGUCAUCAAGACUUUUCAGAGGCACCAUGGGAGGCUGUCAGGAAAAAAAAAACAAAACAAAAAAAAAAAAACCAAAACAAACCAGAAGGAGCAUUCCUUACAGAAGAUAUAUUGGAAAAUCUUUUUCAAAUGCAUGUAACAGUAGAAAAUCUGUAAGAGAAUAACAAAAUUAACUAUUGCAAAUUGCCAAAAUUAAAUGAAAACUACUCAGUAGUUUUGAAGGGACACACCUCCAAAGUCAUUAAAUUAUUAUUGUUGAUGUGCAACCCAUCUCAGUUGCAGCAUUUUCUAAAGCAGAUGUACAUGCCUAGGUGCCCCUCCUUUAGCCCUAAAUGUAAGAUAAGUACUAGCUCUUUUCCCCACUCAUUUGCAGUCUGACAGCAUUGCAAAUUAGUUCAGUUCACCGUGGGAAAAGCUGCAGAACAGAACAGCCAGAGCAACACAAGAUAAGCGAAUAUUAAAUGCCAACUAAACAGACAAUUCAUUAAAAUUAUUUCAGCAGUAUCUUAGAAAAGUAACAAAUCAUGCAAAAAGAAAAAAUACUGAGUCAGUGGCAUCCUGAGAUUUACUUUUCUUAUUCUCUCACAAUUGCUGUUUUUUCUGCUGGUUUAAUUGGUACAACUUAAUGGACUCUAUGAACUUAAAGGUUGUUUCCAAAGAAAAUGAGUCUAUGAAUCUAUUACUCUAACACUGUGCCUCUUGCUUAACUAGUAAAAUCAAUUCAAUAGCAUUGCAAUUUUUUUUUAGCAUCAAUAGCAACAUUUGAAUUGUAUCACCCAUCCCAAGAUUUCUGAGAAGGACAGUUUAACAAGUAACUUAUAGAUGUAAAGUAAUCUACAAAAUGGAAUGCAAGGAAUUUAAGAGAGAUAACGAAGAUGAACACAAAAAAAUGCAAGUAUUUUUUAAUUAUGGAAAAGAAUGGAAAAAAUCUGAUAAAUAUAAGUAUAUAUAUAAAGAAUACAGAAUUAUUCUUUAAAGAUGCUAUCAAGAAGCCACAAUUAUAAAUAACUAAUAAUAUAUUUGCAAAAUGUUAUUAUUCUACUAAAUAGAGGUUUUUCAUACCAGAGGAAACGGACUAUUUUAUAUUUAAACAUCUUCUAAAAAUAGGCAUACUUUUUGUGAGGUUUUUUCCUCUAUUUUUAAACCCAACAGGGCAAUUGGCUGCAUUGUUUCAAAGUCACUUAGGGUGAUUUUAAACAGAUGAAAAUUCAGACUUAAAAAUUUAGACUAUCUUCUAAUAAUACUCCCAGUUAGGAAAAAAGGAAUGAAGGAGCAGAACUUAUGUACAAAUUUUACACUCAGUGAUCCUGGUAAUUCUGGUAAUUCUUCCAUUAACAGCAAAGGUUUUAAUCAUACCCCCUCAAGACCCACAGAGUUUUUCAAAAAACAAGACCACAAACCUGAAGUCUUACCAAAAAAUUUUUACUUUUUCUGAAGCAAUAGAGUUCUGAAGCAACUCUAUUGCUUCAGAAAAAGUAAAAUUCCCAGUAUAUUUAAAUAGUACUCAGUAAAAAUUGGUUAUAUUAGAUCCUAUGCAAACUAAAAAUUCUCAAUAAAUACUGCAAUUAGAAAGGGACAGCAAAUCAGUGUGAUGAGUAGAUGGUUUAUGCUUAGGAAAGUCCCAAAAUCUAAAGGAACCGAUUUCAUGGCAAGGGAACCACUAGAGAGUCCUAAGAACAGGAAUCAGUCUUGAAUAUCUUGUUGGGCUGGGUGGUUGAACUCAAGGAAUUGUAAUCAAUGGCUUGAUGCCCAAGUGGAGACCAGUGACAAGUGGUGUCCCUCAGGGGUCAGUGUUGGGACCAGCACUGUUCAACAUCUUGGUUGGUGACAGGGACAGAGAGAUUGAGGGCACUCAGCAAGUUCACUGAUGACACCAAGCUGUGUGGUGUGGUCCCCUCUGGAGGGAAGGGAGCCAUCCAGAGGGACUGGACAUGUACAAUACAGGCCUGAGAGGUGAGUCUGUGUGAACCUUGAGAAGUUCAAUAAGGCCAAGUGCAAGGUCCUGCACCUGGGUCAUGGCAAUUCCCCAGCACAAACACAGGCUGGGAGGAGAAUGAAUUGAGAGCAGACCUAUGGAGGAUGACUCGUGGCUCUGAGUGGAUGAGGAGUUCAACAUAACCCAGUGACACGUGCUUGCAAGCCCAGAAAAUCAGCUGUGUCUGCUGAAGAAUGAUGUGGCCAGAAGAUAAGGAAAGUGGUUCUCCUCCUCUACUGGUCUUGUGAGACUCCACCUGGAAUGGUGCAUUGAUCUGUCCAAGGACACAGACCUGUUGGAGCCAAGCUGAGAGAGUCAGGGAUAUUCAGCCUGGAGAAGAGAAGGCUCUGGGGAGACUUUGGAGAGGCUUCCAAUAUAUAAAAGGGAAAUAUCUUCUGAGAGCCAUUGAGUGUCACUGCAUGACUGAUAAAAUUACAUCACCCCACUGAGAGAUGCUCUGCCCAGAUGAAGGAGCCAAGCAUUCCUACCUGGAUCUAUUCUGAGCCUUGGAACACCACAGGCAGCCUUUUCACAUUGAAUUCCCAGAGGAUCAGCUUUCUUUUCCAUUGGAUUCCCAGAGGAAGACCAGGCCCAUCUACAUCACCACUGGACUUCCAGAGGAAAACUGCACCCUUCUACAGGAUCACUGCUUCACUGCAAGAAGAUUGCAGCCACCAUUUAAUCGGACUGCUACCAACACCCAGACCAACGGGGUGUCAGGUCAUACUCUGACUCUGUCAGUGUUGUUUUGUAUUACUACAUUUCUAUUUUUCCUAAUAAAGAACUGUAACCCUACUCCCAUAUCUUUGUCUGAGAGCCUCUUAAUAAUUCAGAGGGAGGGGGUUUAAAUUUUCUACUUCAAGCGAGGCUCCUGCCUUCC